Molecule: ribosomal RNA, 377 nt
Filed under: uncultured eukaryote
Lineage: Eukaryota
Description: partial 18S ribosomal RNA
Rfam family: Eukaryotic small subunit ribosomal RNA
Source: RNAcentral
CAAUAGCGUAUAUUAAAGUUGUUGCAGUUAAAAAGCUCGUAGUUGGAUUUCGGGGCAGCCUGGCUGGUCCGCCGCAAGGCGAGUACUGGUCAGCCGCCCUUCCUCUCGAAAGCCCCGACUGCUCUUCGUUGCAGUGGUCGGGUAGUUCGGGACGUUUACUUUGGAAAAAUUAGAGUGUUCAAGGCAGGCCUACGCCUGAAUACAUUAGCAUGGAAUAAUGGAAGAGGACCUCGGUCCUAUUUUGUUGGUUUCCAGGGCCGAAGUAAUGAUUAAGAGGGACAGUUGGGGGCAUUCGUAUUUAAUUGUCAGAGGUGAAAUUCUCGGAUUUAUGAAAGACGAACAACUGCGAAAGCAUUUGCCAAGGAUGUUUUCAUUAA